GUCUUCUAAAGUAGUGAAGGGUUCACAAGAUACCCAGGAGCAGAACGGGAAAUUGGAUGCAGUAGCAUGAUGGUGAUAUAUUAGCUUUGCAAGGCAUGUUUUACCAAUACCUGCAGCACCUACAAUCGAAAUAGACUGGCUUCGUGGAUCGUCUUUCAGUAGCACCUCCAUAAUCGCAUCAACAUCAUCCUCAAAGCCCUCAAGAGGUGGUUCUUCAGGCACAAAUGAAGCUGUUGAUCUUCGUGGGGUCUGGUUUACAGUCCAUGGAGAAUCCUGAUAGGCUCUUCUAACGGCACUAUGCCUUCUUUCAUAGACCUUUUCAAUCUUAGCUCGGAUCUCCACCAUGUCCUGGUGAAGUUUGGCUUGUGAGUUGAAAUUAUGUAAUUGCGAAACAAAUGUGGAAAAGGGUCCUCUCCAAUUCCUCCUCAGCUGCUCCCUUCUGCUCAAGAAGCACCCAAUAACAUCAUCUGUUGAGCGGCAUACAUCACAGAGUUCCUCCAUCCAGUCUUCCUUCAAUCGCUCCGGUUCAACAUCCUUCAAGAACUCUUGAAGGGACCUUAAGUCAUCUCUCAGCCAUCUAGCUUGCUUCUUCACAGCAAGGCUACUUUGAUCUUCUGUAAGUAGCAGUCUUUUCACUUUCCUUAAAACAGGAUCAAUUACUGUGUGCCCAACAUCCAGUUCCUCCAGAGUUAUGGUGCUUAACCAUAACCCAGAAUGCAAAAUAAUCUGCAUGAAGGUCUCCAGGAUGUCUUCAAUGUCAUACAUGACAUUUCUUAAGCGCUUCCUGUCAACCACAUUUCCUGAGAGAUCAGCAGAGUCUUGGAGCUGCUUCUCAAUCCAUUCCAGGCAAUGGAAAGCAAAGCCAAAUUCAAACAGUGAGCAAUGAAAGAAAAAUGCCUAGUCCAAAAUGAUAUUGAAUCUUCUCUUUUGUACUCUUUGCAGUGCAUAAACUUUCCUUACUCUAUGCAGCAGCAAGAGAGUCUCGAGUACUUUUUUCAGUGAUGUUAAGCUGUAGGAAACUGCAAUUCUCCA
This is a non-coding RNA of Carica papaya (papaya), 1032 nucleotides long. NCBI's taxonomy places the organism in Eukaryota, Viridiplantae, Streptophyta, Magnoliopsida, Brassicales, Caricaceae. The record is from RefSeq and is a predicted model, not a curated record.